This is a long non-coding RNA of Mastomys coucha (southern multimammate mouse), 397 nucleotides long. RefSeq lists it as uncharacterized. The record is from RefSeq and is a predicted model, not a curated record. The transcript is spliced from 2 exons. NCBI's taxonomy places the organism in Eukaryota, Metazoa, Chordata, Mammalia, Rodentia, Muridae.
AUCAACAAGAAGUAGAAGAUUCUAGACUGAGCACUCACAAAUAUCUCUGAGCAAGCACAACACUUUCGCAGGGGUGUGAUGAAGGUCGUCUGUGAUGAUGCUCUCUGGAAGAAGUCUGUUGGCUUGACUCUGUGCCAGGUGCUUGAAACAACUGUGGCUUUGCAGAUGGAUUACAGAGACUGGACCCAAAGGCCUCACGUCACCAUGUUCGGUCGAUUGGGGUCUUGUAAGGACAGAGAGAAUUUCUUCUGACUUCAUUUUUAUGAAGAAAAGGGAACUUUCCAGGGCUGUUGUCUUUCCUAGAAUUCCUCCUUUCAAAACAUCUUUGGGGAAUAGAAUUGGAUAUUAGUAAUGCUUUGUGGUUCACUUAAAAAAUAAAAGCAAAAUGUAACUUGAA